Molecule: unclassified non-coding RNA, 191 nt
Filed under: uncultured Russula
Lineage: Eukaryota; Fungi; Basidiomycota; Agaricomycetes; Russulales; Russulaceae
Description: sequence contains ITS1
Source: RNAcentral
UCGUAUAAUGGAGGCAUCGGGGCUGUCGCUGACUUUUCAAAAAGGUUGUGCACGCCCGAGCACUCUCACACAUCCAUCUCACCCCUUUGUGCAUCACCGCGUGGGUCCACCUUUUGCAGGAGGGCUUGCGUUUUCACACAAAACUAGAUACAGUGUAGAAUGUCUUCUUUUGCGAUCACACGCAAUCAAUA